GACGAACGCUGGCGGCGUGCUUAACACAUGAAAGUCGAACGGAAAGGCCCUGCUUUUGUGGGGUGCUCGAAUGGCGAACGUGUGAUUAACACGUGAGUAACCUGCCCUUGACUUUGGUAUAACUUCAGGAAACUGUGGCUAAUACCGGAUAGGAGCUCCUGCUGCAUGGUGGGGGUUGGAACGUUUCGGCGGUUGGGGAUGGACUCGCGGCUUAUCAGCUUGUUGGUGGGGUAGUGGCUUACCAAAGCUUUGACGGGUAGCCGGCCUGAGAGGGUGACCGGCCGGAGGGGUCCCAAGGUAUGGACGGAACUACAAAGGGAGGCAGAAGUGGGGAAUAGUGGAAAAGGGGCGGAAGAGGGAAGUAGCAAGCUGGCGUGGGGGAGGAGUGGCUGAGGUUGGUAAACCGCCUACGCCUGUGACGAAGCGAGAGUGACGGUAAUGGGUAAAGAAGCACCGGCUAAGGACGUG
RNAcentral lists this ribosomal RNA (468 nucleotides) under uncultured bacterium. RNAcentral describes it as "partial 16S ribosomal RNA". It matches the Rfam family "Bacterial small subunit ribosomal RNA", at positions 28 to 507 of the family's 1533-position model. The record is from RNAcentral.